UAGCGAGGAGGAGUUGAGAGAACGGAGCGGACGCCAUGGCGGCCGACAUCGAGCAGGUUUUUAGGUCUUUCGUGGUCAGUAAAUUCCGGGAAAUACAACAGGAGCUUUCCAGUGGAAGGAGUGAAGGCCAGCUGAAUGGUGAAACGAAUGCACCCAUUGAAGGGAACCAGGCAGGUGACACAGCUGCCUCUGCAAGGAGUCUCCCAAAUGAAGAGAUAGUGCAGAAGAUAGAGGAGGUCCUCUCUGGGGUCCUAGACACAGAACUGCGAUACAAGCCGGACUUGAAAGAGGCCUCCAGAAAAAGUAGAUGUGUAUCUGUACAAACAGAUCCUACCGAUGAAGUUCCCACCAAAAAGUCAAAGAAGCAUAAAAAGCACAAAAACAAAAAGAAGAAAAAGAAGAAAGAAAAGGAAAAA
This 416-nucleotide long non-coding RNA is filed under the name Rattus norvegicus (Norway rat). RNAcentral's name for it is "long non-coding RNA NONRATT006443". Lineage: Eukaryota; Metazoa; Chordata; Mammalia; Rodentia; Muridae. The record is from RNAcentral.